Lathyrus oleraceus (garden pea) is the source of this 316-nucleotide long non-coding RNA. RefSeq lists it as uncharacterized. The record is from RefSeq and is a predicted model, not a curated record. NCBI's taxonomy places the organism in Eukaryota, Viridiplantae, Streptophyta, Magnoliopsida, Fabales, Fabaceae. The transcript has 3 exons.
UUCUCCCCGUAGAUUAGGAAACUUCCCAAGCUCUCUAACAGUUGAACCAAUAUUUUUCUUGCCUACUACAAAAACAUUUAGAGUUUGAAGGUUUUCUAGUUCAGCAAUUUGCUUCGGCAUCUCUAUUAUGCUUGUCCUAUCAAUAUAAAGAUGACGCAAAUUAAUUAAUUUACCAACAUGUUCUGGCAAUUCUGUGAGUUUUGAGCACUCAGAUAAAAUCAAGGUUUGCAAGUAGUAGAGGUUGCAUAUGGUGUCAGGCAAGCUUGUGAUUUCAGUAUGAGAGAGAUCUAGAUAGCGCAACUGCACUAAAUUGCCA